Molecule: ribosomal RNA, 406 nt
Filed under: uncultured bacterium
Lineage: Bacteria
Description: partial 16S ribosomal RNA
Rfam family: Bacterial small subunit ribosomal RNA
Source: RNAcentral
AUUGAACGCUGGCGGCAGGCCUAACACAUGCAAGUCGAACGAGUGGCGGACGGGUGAGUUAUGUCUGGGAAACUGCCCGAUGGAGGGGGAUAACUACUGGAACCGGUAGCUAAUACCGCAUACCAUCGGAUGAGCCCCGAUGGGAUUAGCGAGUAGGUGGGGUAAAGGCUCACCUAGGCGACGAUCCCUAGCUGGUCUGAGUGGAUGAACAGGCACACUGGAACUGUGACGCGGUCCAGACUCCGACGGGUGGCAGCAGUGGGGAAUAUUGCACAAUGGGCGCAAGCCUGAUGCAGCCAUGCCGCGUGUAUGAAGAAGGCCUUCGGGUUGUAAAGUACUUUCAGCGGGGAGGCGUUACCCGCAGAAGAAGCACCGGCUAACUCCGUGCCAGCAGCCGCGGUAAUUC